GGCAAAGACGCCAAAUAAAGAGAGUGAGCAUAAGGGAAAGAGGUGGGGGCUGCUGUGUAUAUAAUUCAUGUCCGUAUUAUGAGAGGGGCUUUCUUCUUUUUCUAGCUUUUGCUUUCCCUUCCCUCCCAAAUUUCACUCUCUCUGACCUAAUUGUCUCAGCUCAGCAACAACACCAUCUCUAAAUCUAAGAGAAGAUCCCUCUAAAGUCUAAAUUUAGCGGGUCUUUCUCUUUCUCUUUCUCAUUUCUGUCUUAGAUCUAUCUAUCUAUAACUUGUCUAUAUUGUGCCACAUAUAUAUAGGUCUCAUCAUCUGACAUAUAAGUUUUUUUUGUAGCUGCUGACUUUGGAUUUGGUCUUUGGUUUGAGGUUGAUAAUUAAUAAGAGAUCCCGAGAAGAAGAAAAUUAAGAUGACUCCAGCGAAUUUGGCCGGGCAGUUUGGUGACACUACAUACACCAAGGUGUUUGUUGGGGGCUUGGCUUGGGAGACACAAAAAGAGACCAUGAAGAAGUACUUUGAGCAGUUUGGUGAGAUCUUGGAGGCUGUUGUCAUCACCGAUAAGGCCACCGGCAGAUCCAAGGGAUACGGAUUUGUAACUUUUCGGGAUCCCGAAGCAGCUAUGAGGGCCUGUGUUGAUGCUGCUCCUGUGAUAGAUGGGAGAAGGGCUAAUUGCAACCUUGCAUCUUUGGGAGUUCAGAGAUCCAAACCUUCUACUCCAAAGCAUGGAGGAGCAGGUAGAAACUUUAGGGUAAUGAGCUCUUUUCAGACUGGGUUUGGAGGUGGGGUGGGAACAACUUUUCCUUCAGCAGCAUCCUUCCCUCAUUAUGCCAUCCAGCAAGGGAUACCUUAUAAUGUUUAUGGGUACUCUCCAUACUCGCCAGACUACACUUACCCGGCGGUUUGUACAAAUUUCGCUUUUACUUUUCUCUUUUUUCACAUUAUUUCCUAGGAUGCGUUUUCGAGCAUACUUUUUAGCAGACAAAGUCUUUUUCACUUUUCAUUACUAUUAUUUCCACUAUUUCAUUUUUUAUGAGCAAAAAUGAUUUUAUUAAUAUUUUAGAACCACUAUUUCAUUUCAUUUCUUUUCUUUUCUUUUCCUCCACAGAUAUACAUUUUUCCUUACAUCAUCAUCAUUAUUAAUUAGCGGGAAAUAUUAUUAAGUAUGGUGUUUUUCUACGUUGUCAUCAUUGGUAAUUGGUAGGCCAAGCCUGGCGAGACAUUCAUUAUUUUUACACUAUUCUCCUUUUAACAAGCAAGUAUUCAUUGAAUGGUUCAUCUUAAUUUUCGCAUCCAAUGCAAAUAUUAUUAUAUACACAGUGAAUGGUACUUUAAGUGUUUGUUUAGCUAUUGCCAGCAGGGAUCCAUGAGCAGCAUCUUUGAAAUAUUUGCACGGUCAAUAAUGUACAAUAUAAUACGUGUGCCUUUGAUUUCAAUAUUUGCUACUUAUUAAUUCAAAAUAUAAUAUAUAUGAUGAGAAGUGUAUAUAAUAAUUGAAACUCAUAUUAUUUAUUUUAAAUUCAUAAUAAUCAAAUUUAAGUAAGCUUUUUAAUUUUAAAAAAUAUUGUUAAUUUUUUUUUCUCACGAUAAACUAAAGAAUGCCAAGUGGUAAAAAGUGAAUUCACAGCUGGCGGUAUUCUUUUACUUGUUUGUCGAUUUGAGAAUAUGGAACAACGGGCACCAUCUCUGUGAUAUAUUAUCUCACUCAAUAAAUCUCACAGCCUUCUAAAAUUCUCAAGGAACUGUGAGAGCUAAGAAAACGGACAAAUCAGUGAAGGCUGGGAUUGACUAUAAGCUCUUGUCCAUAUGUAAAAAUUCAAAAACAAAAUGAUACACCUAAAUUCAGUGACCCAGUUGCAUGUUACAUGUGAAGCAAAUCAGCCAAUGCAUUCAGUACUGAAAUAUAUGUACGAAAGGCAUAAUUAUGUUUUCUGAAAUAAUUAACUUUUUUGAAAUGUGUUCAGAGCUACUACAGUAUAUAUGGAGGGGCAACUGCCCAGUAUUCUAUGUACGGAACUGGGCCUGGAGGGAUGAUGACAGGUGCGGCAACUGCGUUUUAUCCUUAUCUCCAAUUUGGAGAGGGAAGUGGAGGAGGAGCUGCUGGCUACACUUCAGGGCAAAGCUAUGGUGUUCAGUAUCCUCACCAUCUGUUUCAGUAUUCAGCCAUUAAUUCAACUGGAGCGUACCCCCAGCACUAUGGUGCACCCAUGUCUCUUGCACCAACUGCAGCUUUGCAAUCAGUGUGCUUUGCUGUGCCACAGGCGUGACCAUGGCUCUUCGUGCCCCGCCAAUUCCUCAUCGCUAGAGACUAUCGCAUUCUAGCCACCUGGCCCCACUUCUAUGCUUCCUCAUCUGCUUUUUUGAGGUCUCACCUUUGGCCUAACCAUGGUUCUCUCUUUGCCUUUCUAUUAACUCAAACCCCCCAUAGGGGUUACAGCACUAGUCACUCCAAAAACUGGAGUCAUGCAUCUCAAUUUUUCCCUUGCAUAUACGUUUGAAAGAAAGGUUCCCUGAAGAGAACCAAAUCUAUCAUGUGUAUGUAUUCUCCAACUCAAGCUAUCGGAUUAGCUUUGAGUGGAAACAUUUUUUUUUUCUAUUGUUAGCCCUGGAAAUGGCUAACCAAGAAAAUAACCAUUUUGUAAAUGCUAGCCUAGGGAAGGCUAAUCCACUGGAAAAUGGUUUGCAAAAAUGUAUAUUCAGCAACACAAAUAUAGCAAGCCCUUUGUUUUCAAUACCAGCUUUUUAGUGCCUAAUCCCUCCAACAAUUAAUAGAUGAUCACCUCUAGAUGAAGAGGCAGUUUUAUUUUAGCAAAAUCAUGGCCAGGGCAUGGAUGCCCUCAGUUUUUGUGCAUUGACAUCUUAGCUAGUCUUAGGAUUUUAGAGCUAGCUAGGACCACGCAAUCAUGUUAUUUCAUAUUUUUUUUUUACCAACUUUACUUUUAAAAUCUUAAUGUGUUUUAACCAACAACCUUCCCUUGGGUAAGGGAAGAAAAUCUCAUUAACUGUUCUUUUAAUUAUUAUUUGUACUUUUUUACAUUUCCUGUAAAUUCAUUGUGGCUAAACUUUGGGAGUUUUAGCCUCUUUUAGUAAAGAAUAGGAGGGUUAGUGUUUGUUUUUUUUUUUUGCAUCUAGAUUUUACCCUGUUUCAACAUCACGCCGAGAACUCCAUAAAUGGAUGUGGAGCUCACAGCACAUGCAUGCAACUCUAGGGAGAUAUUUUGAUUCCCUUGAGUUCUUCUCCUCUAACUCACCAACCAUGGUUAGGACUUAGGUUAUCCUCUCUCCCUCUGUCUCUGUCUCUCCCCCUCUCUGUGGAACUUUUACCUGGAGAUGGAUCAAGAUACUCUUUAUAUGUAUAAGCCCUAUAUAUGGUUUGUAUUGUAAUUAGGAUGCUACUUAAUUAAUUAGGACAAGAUUCAUUCUCUAACCACGGUGGUUGAGAAUGGAUAUAUGCUACUCACUUCUAUGCUUUUAAUUUGAGACUGCAAUGCUUACUUUUCCGCCAAUGCUUUGUCCAUCCUAGACAAGCAAAAUUAUUGUUCACAAAUUUUGUCAUGAUAAUCUUCUCUUAAUUUCUUGGCAUGUAUAAAACAACUAUAUAUUGCUUUUCAAAUGGAGGACAAUCUGCACCACAACUAUUCAACUCG
RNAcentral lists this unclassified non-coding RNA (3641 nucleotides) under Hevea brasiliensis (rubber tree). Lineage: Eukaryota; Viridiplantae; Streptophyta; Magnoliopsida; Malpighiales; Euphorbiaceae. The record is from RNAcentral.